UGAGUAAUCUUGAGGUAGGCGGAAUGUGUAGUGUAGCGGUGAAAUGCUUAGAUAUUACACAGAACACCGAUUGCGAAGGCAGCUUACUAAGGGAUUUACUGACGCUGAUGCACGAAAGCGUGGGGAUCAAACAGGAUUAGAUACCCUGGUAGUCCACGCCGUAAACGAUGAUAACUCGCUGUUGGCGAUACACAGUCAGCGGCUUAGCGAAAGCGUUAAGUUAUCCACCUGGGGAGUACGCUCGCAAGAGUGAAACUCAAAGGAAUUGACGGGGGGCCCGCACAAGCGGAGGAACAUGUGGUUUAAUUCGAUGAUACGCGAGGAACCUUACCUGGGCUUAAAUGUGCUGUGCCGGGCUGAAGAAAUUUGGCUUUCCGCAAGGACAGAGUACAAGGUGCUGCAUGGUGUCGUCAGCUCGUGCCGUAAGGUGUCGGGUUAAGUCCCAUAACGAGCGCAACCCUUAUUGUCAGUGCUAACAGGUAAAGCUGAGGACUCGGCGAGACUGCCACGUAAGGUGUGAGGAAGGGGGGGAUGACGUCAAAUCAGCACGGCCCUUAUGUCCAGGGCUACACACGUGUUACAAUGGCCGAUACAAAGGGCAGCUACCGGGCGACCGGAUGCUAAUCUCUAAAGUCGGUCUCAGUUCGGAUCGGAGUCUGCAACCCGACUCCGUGAAGCUGGAUUCGCUAGUAAUCGCGCAUCAGCCAUGGCGCGGUGAAUACGUUCCCGGGCCUUGUACACACCGCCCGUCAAACCAUGGGAGUUGGGGGUACCUGAAGUAUGUGACCGCGAGGAGCGUCCUAGGGUAAAACCAAUGACUGGGUUUAAGUCGUAACAAGGUA
This 842-nucleotide ribosomal RNA is filed under the name uncultured bacterium. RNAcentral describes it as "bacterial SSU rRNA". It matches the Rfam family "Bacterial small subunit ribosomal RNA", at positions 642 to 1498 of the family's 1533-position model. The record is from RNAcentral.